Non-coding RNA from Paenibacillus sp. FSL R5-0912, 68 nucleotides. The record is from Rfam. Lineage: Bacteria; Bacillati; Bacillota; Bacilli; Caryophanales; Paenibacillaceae.
GGAGUAAAGCUUGCUGUGAGAAGUCAGCAGAGGCCAUAGUAACGGAAAGUUUUUUUUUCGGGAAGGGC